GAGUGCCAGCGUCAUACGCUGGCUGUCCAGGUGUGUAAAUACUCCUGUUAGCAAGGGCCGGGCAAGACCGGUGCCAGCCGCCGCGGUAACACCGGCGGCCCGAGUGGUGAUCGUGAUUAUUGGGUCUAAAGGGUCCGUAGCCGGUUUGGUCAGUCCUCCGGGAAAUCUGACAGCUCAACUGUUAGGCUUUCGGAGGAUACUGCCAGACUUGGAACCGGGAGAGGUAAGAGGUACUACAGGGGUAGGAGUGAAAUCUUGUAAUCCCUGUGAGACCACCUGUGGCGAAGGCGUCUUACCAGAACGGGUUCGACGGUGAGGGACGAAAGCUGGGGGCACGAACCGGAUUAGAUACCCGGGUAGUCCCAGCCGUAAACGAUGCUCGCUAGGUGUCAGGCAUGGCGCGACCGUGUCUGGUGCCGCAGGGAAGCCGUGAAGCGAGCCACCUGGGAAGUACGGCCGCAAGGCUGAAACUUAAAGGAAUUGGCGGGGGAGCACAACAACGGGUGGAGCCUGCGGUUUAAUUGGACUCAACGCCGGACAACUCACCGGGGGCGACAGCAAUAUGUAGGCCAGGCUGAAGACCUUGCCUGAAUCACUGAGAGGAGGUGCAUGGCC
Molecule: ribosomal RNA, 615 nt
Filed under: uncultured archaeon
Lineage: Archaea
Description: bacterial SSU rRNA
Rfam family: Archaeal small subunit ribosomal RNA
Source: RNAcentral